UUUGAUUCAUUUUCUGGUUUUAGUAGGUUCUGUUUGAGUCGUUUGUUCUUGAUAUUAGCUGUGAUUGAUUGAGUUUUCAUCAUUUUAUUCUGCUAUUCUUUGCUGAUUUUGAGUCAUUUGCAUGAUUUAAGCAUCAUUUACGGUUUUGUCUUGGUCAUGUCUAAACAUUUGCUGUUUUUGUCAUUAAAUCCGGUUUUCAACCAAGUUUUUGUAUAACUAAAGUGUUUUGGGAUUGGCUACACCGAUUAAGAGCAGUGAACUACCAAGAGUUGAGCUCAGGUGUUUGGAAUUGCCAUCCAUUUCAGAUCUGUACUGGAUCUACUUUGCUGUUUUGAGAAAAUUGUUGUUGCAGCUUCACUUUUCAUUAGGUAACAAUUCUGUUACUGUUUUAUUGAGCUGCAAUUUCUGAGUCAAUGUUUGAAUCAAUUGAAACGUGAAUGUGUGUUGAUUUCCAGUGCUUUUCCAUGUCAAAAUGCAGUAAGCCGAUCUGCACAUCAUCUUUGAUAAACAUUUCUGCAUAAUUGAGUAAGAGUGGUAGUAGAUCAUUGCCAUUCAUCUUUAAAAGUGUUUCUGCUGUUUUGAGNAAAUUUCAAAUACUGUUUCUAAGUCAUUUGAGUGGUUUCCAGUUCAGAAUUCAAGCCAUUGUGUAUUUUGACCAUUUGAGUUGAGAAAUUGAGUUNACAAUGGAACUGCACUAGUCAUUUUCUGGUAUAUGCUGUUUUUGACCAUUAACUUCGAUUCAAACAGUAUAGAAUCACUAUUGGCACAUGUUUGAAUCAUUGCAUUAAGUAACUAGUCAGUUAUGUACAUUUGGUAUUUGGUACUAGCCAAUUUGUGCUUUCAAACUNUUGUGUCCGAGAAGUUCUGCACUGAAUUGUCAAUCUGCAUUGCAUAAUUUUGUUUGAAUCAAAAAGAGUGGAUGUAGCAAAAGCCUUGGUCCAUAAAAUAGCAAAAGAAACAUUCAAAAGAAGUUGUUAAACAUUAAAAGGCAUAACUGGACCAGUGCAUCUCAAUUUUGAAAUCUGUUCUGCACAUUUGCUU
RNAcentral lists this long non-coding RNA (1041 nucleotides) under Vigna radiata. Its description in RNAcentral is "long non-coding RNA (VRAD_LNC016630)". Lineage: Eukaryota; Viridiplantae; Streptophyta; Magnoliopsida; Fabales; Fabaceae. The record is from RNAcentral.